CCUCAGUCUUACCUUUGCUUCUGUUUGUGUAUUCGUCCUCAUCGCUGCGAGCGUAGGCUAAACUCACUCGCCCGGGCUACCAGAUAGCCUACAACAAUGACACCAGCGGACGCACAGUUUAUCCGCAACUUUUAAUCUUGGGAAGCUCAAAUACAGUAACUGUAUCUCCGAACUGUGAAGAACGCUUUAAUUUAUUCAGUCUGUAAGAUUUGGCAUUGUCGACACUUUUUAUAUUGCAAAACAGCGUUUCUGGUCUUGACUGAACUGUGUUGUGAUCACAUUUGUGCUGUUGUUUUUCCCCUAUGUCCCGAAAAUCCAGUGAUAAUGACUAUAACCUGCGAAGUAUGAGCAACCUGAUGGGCGAGAGAAGGAAGAAAGUAAGCGAUGAUGGAGAGCGGAGCCUCAUCCAGGCUCCCUCCAACGCAAGCAUCGACAGCCAGGGACCCUCGUCCGCCUCCACCGGUGACUUGGAGCGAGCCGCCCGCAAGCAGUUCCAACAGGAGGUCACACCUGCGUUUGUGUAUGUCCUGGCAGGUUUCUCCGCACUGGGGGGCUUUUUGUUCGGCUAUGACACCGGGGUGGUGUCAGGAGCCAUGCUCUUGCUGAAGAAGGAGAUGAAUUUGAGUGCAUUUUGGCAAGAACUGCUCGUCUCAAGUACUGUUGGCGCCGCUGCGUUGUCCGCCCUGGCCGGCGGGUAUCUGAAUGGAAUUGUCGGACGCAGAAAGUGCAUCCUGUUGGCCAGCUUUAUCUUCGCCGGUGGGGGCGUAGUGUUAAGUGUUGCUCCGAAUAAAGAGGCUCUACUUGUUGGACGACUUAUAGUUGGACUUGGAUUAGGCAUUGCCUCCAUGACCGUCCCAGUCUACAUCGCAGAAUGCUCACCCUCCCACCUGAGGGGCCAGCUGGUCACCGUCAACAACCUCUUCAUCACAGGUGGUCAGUUUAUUGCCAGCAUCAUUGACGGGGCCUUCAGCUACCUGCGCCAUGAUGGCUGGAGGUACAUGCUGGGUCUGUCGGUGGCUCCGGCGGUCCUGCAGUUCGUCGGGUUCCUCUUUCUGCCGGAGAGCCCCCGCUGGCUGAUCCAGAAGGGCCAAACCCCGCAGGCCCGGCGGGUCUUGAGCCAGAUCCGGGGGAACCAGAACAUCGACGAGGAGUACGAAAGCAUCAAGAACAGCAUCGAAGAGGAGGAGAAAGAAAGCGGGGGAGGUGGACCGGUGAUCUGGCGCAUGCUCACCUAUGCACCUGCUCGCCGAGCGCUCAUCGUGGGCUGUGGAUUACAGAUGUUCCAGCAGCUGUCCGGGAUCAACACUGUCAUGUACUACAGCGCCACCAUCCUGCAGAUGUCAGGGGUGCGGGAUGACAAGCUGGCUAUCUGGCUGGCGGCAGCCACAGCCUUCACCAACUUCCUGUUCACCCUCCUGGGGGUGUGGCUAGUGGACAGGGUGGGCCGCAGGAAGCUGACCCUGGGCAGCAUCAUUGGUACGGCUCUGAGUUUGACCGUUCUGGCCAUUGGCUUCCUUCUGUCCUCCCAGCACGCACCCCCCGUCACCUUCCACCCCACUCACGCGGGCACGCCCAACUCCACCUGCACAGGAUAUAGGUCCUGUGACCCCUGCAUGCUGGACCCUGCCUGUGGGUUCUGUUACCGUGACAACGGCACUUCUUUGUUUGACUCUUCCUGUAUUCCCGCCAAUCAAGCCUCUACAGGGGAAGCAGCAUGGGGCAGAUGUGCAAACACCACUCAAUUGCCAGAGGGAAUUUACUGGGCCUACAACUACUGCCCCACCUCCUACUCCUGGAUUGUCCUCUUUGGUCUCAUCCUCUACCUGGCCUCCUUCGCCCCCGGAAUGGGUCCCAUGCCCUGGACGGUCAACUCGGAGAUCUACCCUCUGUGGGCUCGGAGCACAGGCAAUGCCUGUUCCUCUGGGGUCAACUGGAUCUUCAAUGUCCUUGUGUCACUCACCUUCCUCCACGUAGCACAGUAUCUCACCUACUACGGGGCGUUCUUCCUGUACGCUGGCCUGGCUUUGCUGGGAUUCAUCUUCAUCUAUGGCUGCCUGCCGGAGACCAAAGGCCGUCGCUUGGAAGAGAUUGAAGCGCUGUUUGAGAGCCAGCUAUGCACAUGCGGAGCAUCCGAUUCAGAUGAGGCUCGGCAGAUCGAGUACAUCCGGGUAAAAGGAAGCAACUAUCACCUGUCCGACAAUGAUGCCUCAGAUGUGGAGUAGCUGGUCUGGCCAUCUUGCCUCCUCACCUCUCUUCGCCCAAAGGCAUUCUGGGAGCAUGGGAAACCAUAGAUUGGUGGUUUUCAUCCUUGGUCUUCACCGUGGGUCACUUCAUUCAUAUUCCAGAGGAUUGGGGGAGGGGAUGUGCAGCACCCAAGAUGUUGGAUUAAACUUACUUUAUGACCUUAACACCUAAUAUGAUUGUUUAAAUUCUUCAAUUAACAGACCAGUGAUAUAUUUUCCUCACUUCGUGAUAUGCAACAUGUACAAUUAGAAAUACAAAGUCCUGGAAAGAAGAUAUAACCGGAAUUUAAUAGCACACAAAUUAAUGAAAUUAAAUUAAACAAAUUAACUACACAUUAUGUGAUAAUGACAAAGAUGAUGUAAUUUUCAGGUAAUAAAAUAUCUGCAUUCUCUGGAAUAUGACAUCUGAACAAUUUUCUGAUUCUCUCUGUCCUUAGAUCUUUCACUAAUACAGCAUUCUGUGGUGAUUAUACCAGUAACCCUUUACCAGAUCUUUGUGACAUUUCAAUUAGUAGCAUCAUAGAGUAUUUUCAUUUACUUGGUAUAUGGUGGUGGGAAGGGUGGUUAGCAUAGUAAUCAUCUUGCCGUGGCAAGUUUUUCUCUUUAUUUACAAAUUUUUAUUUUUUGUAAAUCCGUUUUGGUAAAUCAGCUUUAUCCUUAACUUUGAGUAAUUAAUUUAAGCAAGUGUUCCUUUUUAUAAUUUGACAGUCCUUUACAGUUACUGGCAUUCUCAAAUAAUGGAUUCACAAUAGUGUGGGAAACAAAACCAAAAUGAAAAAACUUGCUUUUACUUGUUACACAAAGUUGGAGGCCUGCGGUGUUGUUCUUGGGCCAAAAAUUAAUGAACCGUUGUCAGAAAAUGAGUAGGUGUCUAAUUUUCUAGCCUCGUAUCGAGUUGGGCCAGUUACGAAAAAGGGUCCUGGAGCCAGAGUGUGGCAUUGCAUAUAUAUCUUUGCAAUAGUUGAACAGUUGUACCUAACCAGGAAGAUGUUUCAUUAUGUUGGAGCAAUGCUCUGCAGACCAAGAGGGAGAAGAUAUUUUUGUAUGUGGCGUAUUUAUAUUUUUCUUUCAUGAUUUGAUUGUGGUUAUGUUUACAGACACAUGCUGUGAAUGAAAUCAAAUGCUGUGGUGGUUGUUGUUUUGUUUUUAGGAAAAUUAUUUUUGACGUAGGUCAUUUUUCAUUUGUCUUCCUCUGUAGCCUUGUGUACAAAUCAAAUUGCCUAACCGUCAUUCAAGUGGCUGAGUGGAAUGCUGAUGUAGUAUGUGUUGAAUAUGUACUGUACUGUAAAUGUUAUUUUCAUAUGGUAAUCAGAUCUUUGUGUAGUACUGUACCUGUUAACACCUUGGUAGACAGGUAUGCUUUACACAGUUUACUGAUUAGAUACCUUUUUUGUAAUAGGUCAGUGACACAAGAAGACCUAGAUGAAAACAUGUAUUGUCUGUGACACAGACUUCUCACAUAACCAUCUGUAAAAGCCGGUGUUAUUAUGCUAUUGUGUGGCCUGUAAUCUUGCAGAAUCUUGAGUUCCUUCAGGGGGACAAAACACUGCCCACGUCAGCGCAUAUCGUACAGUAAAUCGGCAGGCAGUAAAAUAUGCCGUUCAUACAAACUAUAAUAUGUACAGCACAGUCCGUAAGUAUUUGGACAGUGACACAAUUUUUGUUUUGGCUAUGUACUCCAGCACAUUGUAUUCAAAAUGAAACCAUGAACAUGAGGUUAAAGUGCAGACGGUCAGCUUUAAUUUGAGUGUAUUCGGAUCCCUAUUGGGUGAAUCAUGUAGGAAUUACAACCCUUUUCAUACAUAGUUCCCCCAUACUAAAAACAAAAGUUGUGUCACUGUAUAAAUACUUAGUUUUUCAGGUAGAAAUUAAUGUAGCUUUGGUGGAGAAAGUCAGAUUUUCCUAGACUUUUUCAGGUAUAAAAACAGUUACUGGUUCUUAAAUUAGAGGUUAAAGCUGAAGUUUUAAAUGAAGUAAUCAAUUACAGAUUCAAACAUCAGUGGUUGUAUUUGGUUUAUUAACAAAAAUAUUUAACUGGAAAUAUAUUUUUUCCAACUUUAAUUUGAAAACAUUACAGAAGUUUUUUUUUUUAAAAUUAAAUAUGUUAAAAUGCCAUGCAGCCAUGUAACAAAGCCUUCUUGUGUUUGACAGUUACGUAAAUGUAUUGUGACUUUAAAAAUGCACUUUGAUAAAGGGAAGCAUCUUAGACCAUUACAACCCAGUGUUGGUCUAAUUUUAUUACUGACAGAGAUGUCCUGUAAGUUUGUGGUGAAACAAUUUUCCUAUGUAAAACAAUUGAAAAUAAUAAAGUGUUUGUACAGUUUAUGACAAUCUAGUGAUAAAAUAUGUAUGUGUAUGUAUAUGUAUAUAUACAUGCACAUAUACAUACAUAUCAGUGCUGUAUAGUAAAUUCAAUUAUUGUUGCUAUCCAUCUUUUCCUAGAUUUUAUCUUUAUAUAAAACUAUAUAUAUUCAUGAAAUUUGACCCUUGAAUAUGUAAAUGGCCAAAAUAAAUGCUAAUAAUCUUU
RNA transcript from Anguilla anguilla (European eel), 4770 nucleotides. It is a transcript of the gene named proton myo-inositol cotransporter-like, with no coding region annotated. The record is from RefSeq and is a predicted model, not a curated record. NCBI's taxonomy places the organism in Eukaryota, Metazoa, Chordata, Actinopteri, Anguilliformes, Anguillidae. The transcript has 11 exons.